This 461-nucleotide ribosomal RNA is filed under the name uncultured bacterium. Its description in RNAcentral is "bacterial SSU rRNA". It matches the Rfam family "Bacterial small subunit ribosomal RNA", at positions 340 to 786 of the family's 1533-position model. The record is from RNAcentral.
UACGGAAGGCAGCAGUAGGGAAUCUUCCGCAAUGGACGAAAGUCUGACGGAGCAACGCCGCGUGAACGAUGAAGGCUUUCGGGUCGUAAAGUUCUGUUGUUAGGGAAGAACAAGUACCGGAGUAACUGCCGGUACCUUGACGGUACCUAACCAGAAAGCCACGGCUAACUACGUGCCAGCAGCCGCGGUAAUACGUAGGUGGCAAGCGUUGUCCGGAAUUAUUGGGCGUAAAAGCGCGCGCAGGCGGUCCUUUUAAGUCUGAUGUGAAAGCCCACGGCUCAACCGUGGAAGGGUCAUUGGAAACUGGGGGACUUGAGUGCAGAAGAGGAGAGUGGAAUUCCACGUGUAGCGGUGAAAUGCGUAGAGAUGUGGAGGAACACCAGUGGCGAAAGGCGACUCUCUGGUCUGUAAACUGACGCUGAGGCGCGAAAGCGUGGGGAGCGAAACAGGGAUUAGAUACC